AGCUCCAAUAGCGUAUAUUAAAGUUGUUGCAGUUAAAAAGCUCGUAGUUGGAUCUCGGGAGCAGGCCGGCGGUCCGCCUCGCGGCGGUUUAUUCCCGUCCUUCCCCCCCCGCCCGGUUUUCCCCCGGGCUCUUUCUUGAGUGGCCCCGGGUGGCCGGAACGUUUACUUUGAAAAAAUUAGAGUGUUCAAAGCAGGCAGUUCGCCUGAAUAAUGGUGCAUGGAAUAAUGGAAUAGGACCUCGGUUCUAUUUUGUUGGUUUUCGGAACUUGAGGUAAUGAUUAAGAGGGACAGACGGGGGCAUUCGUAUUACACUGUUAGAGGUGAAAUUCUUGGAUCGGUGUAAGACGAACUACUGCGAAAGCAUUUGCCAAGAAUGUUUUCA
Molecule: ribosomal RNA, 382 nt
Filed under: marine Metazoa environmental sample
Lineage: Eukaryota; Metazoa
Description: partial small subunit ribosomal RNA
Rfam family: Eukaryotic small subunit ribosomal RNA
Source: RNAcentral